This 973-nucleotide long non-coding RNA is filed under the name Anser brachyrhynchus (Pink-footed goose). Its description in RNAcentral is "lncRNA (ENSABRG00000014693.1)". The record is from RNAcentral. Lineage: Eukaryota; Metazoa; Chordata; Aves; Anseriformes; Anatidae.
GAGCCUUCCAGCUCUCUGGAAAGAUUUCCUAGGAUGAAUGUUAUAAUCUGAGACGGUCUCUUGUAGAAGGAACUGACAGACAGGCAUCCAGAGACACAUGGAAGUGACAUUUCCUGAGCUGUGUGCCACAAAAAAGAAUCCAGCAAGCAAAUGUAGAAACCAAAUGUGAAAUUCCUCCCACAGAUGAAGAAAAAAAAAAAAAAAGGAAAAAAGAGCAAAACCAUAUUAGCAUCUUUUGUGGCAGUCAAGGGAAAGGCAAGGAGUUUUUAUUGUUUCAGCACAGCAAAUUCCGUGCCAAUGUCAACAUAAAGACAGGAGCAUUUCCAGUUUAUGACAGGUCUGACAGUCAUGCUUCCAGUGCUUCUAGCUGGAAGUUGAACCAGUGGGCCAGUCCAGAUGUUUUUGCAAUGAAUGCAUCGAUUGAAGAAAGAAAACAUAUAUCUUGGACAUUAAACGGGAGCCUGGAAAGCAAACACCUCACAUGAGAUAUAAACCGGAAAAUUACACCAUUACAGGACAAACUGAUUCAUGGUAUCUCAGAGGAGAAGGAGUAGGCACUAACUAUCCAGAAGGCUAAACCAUUCUGAAUUUGGUAGCCAUCUAGAAUUGUGCAAUGAAGUUGAAAAUGGGGUAGAAUAUAAAACAGAAAGGGAAAUGGGGCAAUCUUAAGUAGAAUUUGCUGCAUCUAGACACAUUAGACUGGACACACAUUUAUGCAAGUAGUCUUUGGUAUCAUAACAGAUAUUAUCAAGAUUUCAUUUCACAGAUUACAUUAAGUUUCUAAUUCAUCAUGAGAAAGAGAAGUUUAUAGGAAGGCAUAACAAAAAGUUCUGCUUCCUAGAUUUUCACUGGUCCUUUAUAUGCUCAGAGAAUAUUCAAAGGAGACUAACAGAAUUCAGUUCCCACUGAAUUCCAGUCAACUCUGACAUUGCAAAGUUUAUUUCAAAAGAAAAUAAAAAUCCCCACUCCAGCA